UACUCUUGACAUCCAGAAAAAAUAAACAGAGAUGCUUUGGGCCUUCGGGAACUCUGAGACAGGUGCUGCAUGGCUGUCGUCAGCUYGUGUUGUGAAAUGUUGGGUUAAGUCCCGCAACGAGCGCAACCCUUAUCCUUUGUURCCAACGGUCCGGKCGGGAACUCAAAGGAGACUGCCUGUGAUAAAGUGRAGGAAGGUGGGGAUGACGUCAAGUCAUCAUGGMCCUUCGAGUAGGGCU
Molecule: ribosomal RNA, 238 nt
Filed under: Enterobacter sp. VC1
Lineage: Bacteria; Pseudomonadati; Pseudomonadota; Gammaproteobacteria; Enterobacterales; Enterobacteriaceae
Description: partial 16S ribosomal RNA
Rfam family: Bacterial small subunit ribosomal RNA
Source: RNAcentral